RNAcentral lists this transfer RNA (87 nucleotides) under Curtobacterium sp. ODYSSEY 48 V2. RNAcentral describes it as "tRNA-Val". Lineage: Bacteria; Bacillati; Actinomycetota; Actinomycetes; Micrococcales; Microbacteriaceae. The record is from RNAcentral. RNAcentral also lists the same sequence under 6 other names.
GGGAAGCGCUGCGUAUCGCUGCGGACGUUUGCGCGGUCCGCCACGUUUACACCGUGGAUGUCGUCGGUUCGAUCCCGGCAGGGCCCA